Neofelis nebulosa (Clouded leopard) is the source of this 517-nucleotide long non-coding RNA. RefSeq lists it as uncharacterized. NCBI's taxonomy places the organism in Eukaryota, Metazoa, Chordata, Mammalia, Carnivora, Felidae. The record is from RefSeq and is a predicted model, not a curated record. The transcript has 2 exons.
GGGGAGGGACCUGUGGGAGAUGAACCGAGAGGCAGGGCCUGGGGGAGCCGAGCCCAGCCCCGGUGCCCCCAGUCCCAGGCGCCCAUCCAGGGAGGCUGGAGGGACUGGGCCCUGGCCAGAGCACGCCGUGAUCACGGACGCAGAUCGGGCCGGGUUCAAGGAUGGGGUGCGGACAGCAUCCCGAGCAAGGGCCAAGCCACAGGAUGGAAGAAACCCGGCUGCCUGAACGGUAUCAUAGAGCCUCCCUGCCCUCCUGACCCCUGGCCUCGGCGCUGAUUCAGGAGACAAGACUGACACAGAUUUUGUUCAGCUACAGUGUUUGGGGGCGUUCUUGCUACAGCCACUCCCUCGGGCGGGGCUCCAUCUUCUACAUCCGUGGGUGGCCACCCACCCAGCAUCGUGACCUACACCAGCGAGUAGCUCCGACACGUCUCCUGUGUUGAAUCCUGCGGGAUCGCUUUGAUAACAAGCGUAAAAAUGCUAAUUAUCAAAAGAAACCCACAGGCUCUGGCUGACA